Molecule: unclassified non-coding RNA, 382 nt
Filed under: plant metagenome
Description: partial contains 5.8S ribosomal RNA, internal transcribed spacer 2, and large subunit ribosomal RNA
Rfam family: 5.8S ribosomal RNA (bases 1-105)
Source: RNAcentral
GAAAUGCGAUACGUAGUGUGAAUUGCAGAAUUCCGUGAACCAUCGAAUCUUUGAACGCAUAUUGCACUCGAGCCCUCGGGCAAGAGUAUGUCUGCCUCAGCGUCGGGUUGAUAUCACUCCACCACACCCUGUGUGGAUCACCGAGUGGACCUGGUCGUUCCAGCGAGCGUGGCUCUGAUCAUGUAUCAGAACUGCAUACGAGCAAGCUGGAUCGGCUGAAAAGUAGAGGUCAGCCAAGGACCCGUUCAUGGGCCGCAACUGGGUAGGCGAGUAUUCGCUUCUUGUCUAGUUGUUGGCUUGGGACUUUAGCUCGACCCCAAAACAGGAACCUUACUUAUUUUCUCGACCUGAGCUCAGGCAAGAACACCCGCUGAACUUAAGC